AAUUAUAGCUUUGUUCCCCCAGUAUCAGUACUACAUUUCAGGUGCUCAUUACCUAUGCACAACUGUGGCUACCAUGUUGGACUGGGCAGAUGGGAGACCUUUCCAGCAUCACACACCAUUCUCCUGCCUGACUUUGUAAAGAGGAAGCAGAGAAAUUAAAUCGAAUUCAAUCAAGAAGUAUGGAAGGAGACUCCAGGUUUAAUUAAGUAACAACAUCUUGAUGUGUGAUUCUUUUUUUUUUUUUUUUUCCACUAAAGGUGUUUUUCAGCCAUGUUGCCUUUUUUCAACUGUAGAUGCAAAAGGAGAGAACCCCCAUUAGUUCUCACCGCAAUAUAAGAAAUUCAGGUAUUGGGUCUAGUUUUCUUUCAGUAACACAAAGAUUUAUUUUUCCUGCAGGAACUGUUAUUUUCUGCAUGAUCCUGCAAAUUUUUUCCCCUAUCAAACCACUACAGUUUUAUCUCUGUUUGUUAUCUCUCAUCUCAUGCAGCUGACAAAAAUAUUUGUGAAAAAUAACAAUAGGCACAGGGAAACAAACCUUAGUGUUCCUCACAGGUUUUUUGUUUUGGUUUUCGUUUGUUUUGUUUGUUUUGUUUUGUUUUUGUUUUUGUUUUUUUUGGUUUUCUGUUUUUUGUUUUAAAGAAUCCUUGGUUUUGGUCAUUACUUCUGCGUUGCUGCAGAGUAAAAAAUAUAUCUUACUUAGAAGCUAGAACGUGCUUCAGACCACACAAAUGCAGGCUGUAGCUGUGAACACCCAAUGGAGAAGAGCUGGUUUAGUUUCCCCACCACAUACAUCUUUCCUAGCUUCCUAGCCUCCCAUCUAGCCUGGAGAGUCUAUUAUCUCCUAUAACCUCUGCUGCAAAACUGUGGUCUGAAGACGAUUUUGUCUUCCCCUCUCCCUUCUCUGCCUCUGGGUGUGCCUCCCUCCCCUUGAGUAACCUCUGAUCUGUAUCCUGCACCACCUCCACCAACCCUGUGAAUGGGCUGGAGAAAGAAUCUCAGUCUUUACCACCUCAUCUGCUUAAUUAUGGCCUGAGAUUGUCACAAAGCAGAAUGGAAGGAAAGUUUCAUAUGUCAUGCUUCCUUCAUCCAGGGUGCAGCUUUUCAAGUAUUUAUUAUUAUCUUUUUAUACAAUGAUUUUUAUUUUUUUCCAUUAUAGCUGGUUUACAGUGUUCUGUCAGUUUUCUACUGUACAGCAUGGUUUUAGCACUGGCAACUAUAUCUAGUCACUUGUGAUGGAGAAAGUGUUUUUUUUUUCUUUUGUGUUGACCUUAUUUCGGAUUUACAGAAAAGCUGCAGGAGUGGCAUAAAGAAUUCCUGAUACGCAUCCCCCACUAUCCCCAAAUGUUUGCAUUUUACCACAUUUAGUAAUUUAUCGUAUUCUCUCUCCCCACCUCUCUCUUUCUCACACAGACACACAAAUGUGUGCACAUACACACUAUUUUUCUAAACCAUUGUUUUCCCUCACCUGAUGCUCCAUUACCUUUAAAUAUUUGUGUGUUUUUAUUCAAAACAAAGAAAUCAGAGUGAUAUUUUUUACAUUAAAAAUGGAGAGGUUUUUGCCCUUGCUUUUCCUUUUCCUUUCUCUGAUUGGGAGUUUUUAAAAGCAAAAUGACUAAAAGAGUAGAAACUGGUUUGAUGCUCCACAAAUUGGUUCAUCAGCUCAUGGAUGCUGGAAAAUUGGCUAUGUUUUUUGUGAUUCCAUGUUUCCAGGUCAGAUGAGCCUACAAAUUAAGAAUGGGGGCAGGGGGCGAAGAGGGGAGGAGAAUGGCACACUGCAACUUGCAUCCUCUGUCUUUUUAAAACCUAAAUUAAUUUCUUAGGGACUAUUUAGCCAGCAGCAUAAUAUGAGUGAAGUUUUUUUAUAAAUAGUGGGCACAAGAUGUGAUAUGGCUAUUAGCAAGAUAUCUAUUAGAAUGCCUGGCCAAACUGUUAUGAAGUUAACAGUCACAUAUGACAAGUAGUUAUAAUCAGUUCAGAUGCUUGAUUUUUCCUUUUCAUUUACUGUUGAUUCUUAUGGAUUUGGGGUACAGAGGGAAUCAUCUAUGCCCUAAGUGCACUGUAUUGUAUUAUUAAUACCAGGAGAGCAGCUGAGUCCCACUAGACAGUCUUUGUGGUCUGCAGAUACUCUAAGAAGUGUCUGAGCAUAAAAGGAGGCUGUUUGAGUUGAAGUGGGCUGAUGGUCUGGGAUGACAUUUGAAUGCAUGGAGGACAAUGUCUAAAUGACAAUGUCGAGAAGGGAAGGCAAAAAGGAGCUUGAAACUAUGGCCAUUGUCCCACACACGCUCAUCAUUCCUGACCUAUCCCUCACGUGCCAGCUUUGUCUGGGUAGAAAUGGGGAGUGGGAUGGAGGAGGGAUAGAUACUGGGGUCCUGGGACAAAAGCCAGGGAUUCAGGUCCUUAGACACAUUAAAAUUCUAGACAGAUAGCAAAUGUAAAGAAAGCUGCAGUCCAAUUGUAUUUCAAGUCUAACAAAGUUAAACAUUUUAGCUCAGUUGUUACGAGGAUAUUUAACACAAUGUUUGCAAUACUCUGAGAAGUUUCAAUGAAUAAAGCUUUUAAGAACAUCACAUUGGUUGUGCAAAAAUGAAUAAUUGAGAGGGUCUCUUUUGGAAUUUAGGAUAGCUGUUUCCUCUACCAACUUUCUCUACUCACACAGCCAAAUAGAAUAAUUUUUCAGCAGUCCUAGAGUUGUUAGGAUAACAUCAUAGAUUAAUCAAAGGAUAACUUUUUCAGCUAAUGAAAUAGUGUACAAGGUCUAGGACAAAAACACCACAGAAGACUGAGACAUUGAUGGGAACUAUCUCACAAUAAAUAUUACCAGGUCUGCCAAGCAUGGAAUCAAAUACUGUGCUGUUAACUUCCAUCCUUGGCUGAAUUUUCUCCCUUUAAAUUAUCACCAUUCUUUUAAUGUAGUUUGCAUUAUAUAUAGUGCCCUUGGAUUUUUAAUUGCUCUGGAUUAUCAUUUUCAAUGCAAUUAGUAAAAUGCCCUCAAUUACACAUAAUAAUUACUGUAAAUGGGGCUAUUGGCCUAAUUACUAUAAAUGGGGAAAGAUGUAUGAUUAUCAUAUGCAAUUAAAUCAUGUACAGUAUUUAUUUUACAUGAUUACAUAAGUGGUAUAGUGAUAACACGUAAUUAUAUUGUAUCAUUACUUGGUCAACAAAUCUUCAUAUUAAGAUAUCUAGAACUGUGAUCCAUUGCCAAAGAUUCCUGCAGUGGUCCUUUUUUCCUGAAGUCAUUGGGUUAUUUUUGUGGGCUGGGAAUCCCCUAGAUAAACUGUGCAUACACAAGAAAAAUCUGGAAGGAAGAAAAUUAUUUUGCCUCCAUUAAAAUUCAGAAUAUGCCCAGGUUGUGCUAUGUUGUCAGUGUUAAAUCCUCUCUGAGUCCAGUGCCAACCUUUACCAAACCCAUUUGUUUUAUGUAAACAUGUAAAAAUCAACACCCCCUAAAUGGUGGCAGUGUUGAAAAUAUGCCUGGGGGGGAGGGAGGAAAAAAAAAGACAUCCUUUCUUCACUGUGGCAAACAUGAUAAUCAUCCCUAGUUUACAAAUGCACACUUUAACAAGCUUAUAGCGCAUAAUUAAUUCUGCAAAGGAUGCUGUUUGACAGAGUGGGAUUAUGAGAAUUGCAUAUUGAUAGUGGCAGGAGAAAUAAAUCUAUUUUCUUUACAGAAGGUAGGGUGUUCUUGUGUUCUUUAGAAACUGGCACAUCUCAGAGGUGUUGCUCUCAAAAUGAUCUCAGGAUGGAAAGAAAUCAGUAAUUACAGAGCCAGGCAUUCGGUUGUGUCCUAAUUUUCCCACCAGUUUUUCAGUGUUUCAGCCGCCUCAGAGACUUAAAGUAUUCUCAUUAGGUAGCUGCCGAGGCAGCCGCUUGCCUACUCCCUCAUUCUCUCACUCGCAUUUCCUUUUUUUUUUUUUUUUCCCCAUUCCUGCCUUGGGAGUGACUGUGAAGAUCAUUUGCCAGAAUGAUUGGCAGGUUAGAGGAUUCGAUCAGAUGAGUUCCUCUUAGUGCAGGUCAAAAAGGCUAGUUAGCAGGAGCUGUCGGAAAAUGCCAGCAGCAUUCGAAAUGGGAAAUGUCAUGACUUGGAGGCAGGGGGGUGCCACCUGGAACAGAAAGCCCCCAGCUCAUUAGCAAGUUACAGGAUGCGGGCUUAACUGGAAGGAGCAGAGAAGGAAAGAUAAUACCCAAUAGGGAAAAUGAUUGUGAAGUGGCAUUGAUUUCAUGUAUAAUUUGUUUAUCACUAGAGGGGACAAAUGCGGUCCUUCUGACAUGAGCAGAGGAGUGUGGACUAUGAAUGAAGCAACUUAGCAUAAUCUCCAGGUUGAGCUUUGGAUUUAAAGAAUGCAAACUUCUUUAUUCUUAACUGUGGAAAUGAUCAGGUCAUGUUACAUUAAUUAAAGCUGACAUACUCUCAAAUGUUUUAUCUGGGCAAUUGUGGCAAUUCGACAGAAAUGGAUAGAGAUGGGUAACUUUAGAAAAUAAGAGGGAUUUUUUUUUUUUCCUUUUCCCUCUGCUGAUGUGGAAGACUAGCUCAGUUGCAUACUGAAUUAUAACAGGCUUGGUGUUUAUCUUCAGUGGUUAGCUAGGCUGCACAAAUCACACUGGGUUCUCGAUUCUCAUGCAAUCUCAUUUAUAGAGGAGAGCGUUUGCCCUUUGGGAGAUUUGGAUCUAAUCCAUGUUAAAAUAUAUAUGUAUGUUUUAGAAUAUGACUAUAUCAUAUUUUGGUACAAUGGUAAAUUUUUAAUCCUUUUUUUUAAAGGGGCAGCCCUCCACUUUCAUGACUGCCUAGUUGUCAGUUCAUCUAGAAUUUGAUGUUUUACCGUCAAGCCAACAACCUAACAGUAGCCAUAGUUACAAUCAAAACUAAACUAAAAAGGUGUCCUUAAAGGAAAAAUUAACCUGCAGUUUGUAAAAAGAGAAUGCACUGCCAAAGCCAAAAAUAAUACUCCCUGGCAUGUACUCAAACUAAAUUCCAAAUUUAAAGGUUCCAGUAUUUUUACAGUGUAUUAAUGAGCUUUAGCAUAAAGCUUUUUCCUACAUAAAUUCCAUCAGAAAAUGUAUUUUCUUUUGAUAAGAGACUUUUAUGAUAUCAUUUAUCUCUUACAGAGAGAUCGUUAUCUUGUUAUUUUUAAGUCACAAAUGCCACAGCUGCAAGUCUUUCUGGCUGAACACUAAAGAAUGUUUACUUAGCGUCCAGAUUUUGGUUAAAACAUAUUUUCAAAAUGUUUUUGUCUUGAGUGUUCUUUUCUCUUAAAUAUUGAGACAUUUUAUGAGGCGGUUAUGAAAUGUCCAGUGCUUCUUUUAUCAAGCAGCCUCAGACUGCUGUCUUAUGUGAAUUGGAAUCCUAAAACCUCCUGGUCGAAAUACUGGUGGAAAAUUCAUUCUGUUCUGUAUUCAGCAUAAAAAGCUUAGCAUUAAGCUACUGAGUAUAGCUGUCAAGAUAUACUGCAUUACUUUUGUCAAAUCUAAAAAUUUAAAUAUCAGUGGGAAUCCAUUCACCCCCUCAUUUGGGAGUUUUGUUGUGUGGUUCAGGAGCUCACCUUAAAAAAAAAAAGAAAAA
RNAcentral lists this long non-coding RNA (5557 nucleotides) under Sus scrofa (pig). RNAcentral's name for it is "lncRNA (ENSSSCG00030040198.1)". The record is from RNAcentral. Lineage: Eukaryota; Metazoa; Chordata; Mammalia; Artiodactyla; Suidae.